GCCGACAAGUUUCCGGUCCGCUGUAUUCACUUCUUUAAACUCAUACAAGCAGCUCCAGCAUAUCCCCGAACCGUUUGCAAUUAGUUACACUUCACAUUCAAAAUGACUUCUGCCAACCCAUCACCGGGAGUCCUCUCCUCUCCUUCCUCCUCCAAUUCCUCUUCUCUAAUCUCUCAAUGGAGUUAUGAUGUAUUUUUAAAUUUUCGAGGUGAGGAUACCCGUGAUAAUUUUAUUGGUCAUCUUUAUAGUGCUUUGCAUCAAAAGGGAAUCAACACUUAUAUAGAUGACAAACUCAAAAAAGGUGAAGAAAUUUCACCUGCGCUUUUAAAGGCUAUUGAAGAGUCAAAGAUUUCAAUCGUUAUAUUUUCUGAAAACUAUGUGUCAUCUACGUGGUGUUUGGAUGAGUUGAUAAAAAUCUUAGAGUGUAAAGAAUCAAAGCAGCAUAAGGUUUUACAGGUAUUUUACAAAGUCGAGCCAUCGACAGUACGACACCAAAAAAAUAGUUUUAAAGAAGGGUUAGCUAAACAUGAAGACAAGUUCAUGGAUGAUGCUAAAGUUCAGAGGUGGAAGACUGCCUUAAAACAAGCUACCGAUCUAUCCGGUUUGCAUUUAAAGAUCAACGGGAACGAAUCUGAAUUUAUUCAGAAGAUUGUUCAAGAGCUCUCAAGCAUGUUACCAAAUCGUACAUGCUUGCAUGUUGCCAAUUAUCCGGUUGGGUUAGAGUCUCGUGUAAAAGAUAUUAAUAUGCUUUUAUGUAUUGAGAUGAUUAAUGAGACACGCAUGAUAGGGAUAUUUGGUAUUGGGGGAAUUGGUAAGACAACUAUUGCAAAACAGAUGUAUAACCUCAUUGCUGAUCAGUUUGAAGGGAGUUGUUUUCUUGCAAAUGUUAGAGAAAAUUCAAAACCAGAUAAGGGCGGUCUCAUCCAACUACAAGAGAAAAUUCUUUCUGAUAUCAUAAGAGAUCCAAAUUUUAAGGUCGGUCAUGUUGAUAGAGGAAUCAAUUUGAUAAAGGAGAAACUUCGCUAUAAAAAGAUUCUUUUGGUUCUUGAUGAUAUUGAUUGUUUGGACCAAUUAGAAAAUCUAAGUGGAAGAUGCGAUUGGUUUGGAUUGGGAAGUCGAAUCAUCAUAACAACAAGAGAUGAGCAUCUACUAGUGAAGCAUGAUGUUGGAAAUUGGAAAUAUCCGAUGAAUAAAUUGGAUCAUGAAGAUGCAGUUAAGCUCUUUUCUUGGCAUGCCUUCAAGUGUGACAAACCGGAUAAUGAUUUUGUGGAACUCACCAAACUUGCAUUGCAAUAUGCUGGUGGCCUUCCACUUGCUUUAACUGUGGUAGGCUCAAAUCUUCGCGGAAGAGAUAUCGAUUAUUGGAGAAGUGAAUUGGAAAAGUACAAAAGAAUUCCAGAUAAAAAGAUCUAUGAAAUACUCAAAAUAAGUUUCGAUGGAUUAAAUUAUUAUGAGAAAAACAUUUUCCUCGACAUUGCAUGUUUCUUCAAAGGAGAAGAAAGGAAAUAUAUCAUUCAAAUAUUGCACGGCUGUGGUUCUUUUCCUGAUUCUGGUAUUAUAAAUCUUAUAGAUAAAUCUCUCAUAAUUGUUAAUGAAUGUGACAAAUUGACUAUGCAUGACUUACUUGAAGAUAUGGGCAAAGAAAUUGUUCGAGAAGAAUCACCUGAAGAACCUGGGAGACGCAGUAGGUUAUGGUUUUACGAAGAUGUGCGAUAUGUACUUGAAGAAAAAACGGGUACAAAGAAAAUACACGGCAUACUGAUAGAUAUGCCUCCAGGGGACCGCAUGAUACUCUCGAGUCCCAAUGUGCUUGCUAAGAUGAAAAAAUUGAGAAUAUUUAUAAACCGCAAUGCAAGUUUUGGUCGUGGAUUAAAUUGUCUCUCUAACGAGUUAAGAGUUCUUGAUUGGCCCGAAUGUCCUUGGCCAUCUUGGCCGCCAAAGUUUCUUGGAAAGAAACUCAUUGCUUUAAAAAUGGAAGGAAGCAUGAUUGGAGAUUUUGGCAUGGGAUUGCUAUCUAAGGAACGCUUUCAGGAGAAAGAAUCAAGCAGGAUUAUAUAUCCAGGAAGUAGGAUUCCAGAGUGGUUCAAGUAUUGCAAGGAGAGUACUUCAUAUAGUAAUUAUAUUGAAAUAGAAAUUGAUCAUAAUGCGUCCAUGUGUGGGCAUCAGAUCGUGGCAUUAGUUUUGUGUUUUGUUGUGGGACCUCUUCCGGAAGGUACUUUAGUUAUCACAAUAAAUGGCCAGCAUAUUAGCAAUUAUGGUAAUUUUCUACAUUGUUCAACGGACCCACAUCGUGUAUGGCUACAAUACAUAGCUGGAAAUUCUAUUAAUCAGUUACGGUCAAGGAGAUUUACAUUUGAAAGUAAUUAUAACAAGAUCUUCAAAAGUGCUGGAGUCCAUCUCAUAUACGGGAAUGACAAUUUCAUUGAUCCUAUUCAACUUUCCAAGACAUACCGAGAUGAUGGUGAGAAUGACUUGCAACCCGAUUGGAACCCACAACAGAAGAGGCAAAGAUCUUCAACCAGCAUUAUGGCAAGGAUGCUAAUGAAGAUUUAACUAAUGAAGAUUUGAAUUUAGAACUUCGACUUGGGAAUUGAAGUUUGGAAAGGAAUCAAAGUUGCGGAAGGAAUCAAAGCUGGGAAAGGACUAUAACCAUAACAGACCUUAACGGUAAUUGAUAAAAGUACUCUUAGGAUGCUUGUGGAACUUGCAGCAAAGUAAUCUCUUCGACCACUUUACUGGAAUUUCAGUACAUAUAUACACCAGGAAUAUUGAUACAGAUUCAAGGCCCCCAAGACUAUGUUUUUAGACCAAGACCAGAUUUGUAAAGGGAGAUAUAAGUGCCAUGAAAACUAUGUUUUACAAGCCUAAUGACCAUAAGAAGGCUUUCUAUGAGACUAUGAUGACCUCUUCCCAUAUUGGAAAGGAUUCUGGAUGAAUUGGUCACCAUUAAAAGGCUGAAAUUAAUGACCAAAUUUAUGUGUGGGGGGAAGAAAGGUAAUGUGUGUGGAGCUGGUUUUCUUAACAGUACUUGUGGCAAACACAUGCAUUGAGAUGAAAUUAAUUAAUUUCUGUGUAAGUUAAGCGAAUCUAAACUGUUGUUGAUUUUCUUUUUCAUAAUACUGUAAUUGUUGACCUUGGGCUGCAUUUGUCAAAAUAAAGGGUAAUUGUUGAAAGUUCUUGGUUUGGGAAAUGACACAAAUCAUAGGUUCUAAAGCUCAAGAUGGGAUUAUUAUCAUACUUUUGUACCCAUUUCAAAACUAGAAUGAACACUUGAGGAAAUAAUAAUCCCUACUAAUCAGGUCAUGUACUAAUGCAUAAUGAAAAAUCACUUGUAUAUUAGUAUCACCAAUAUUGGCCUGCCAUUUUGUUGUUAUCUUCCUGGAGCUCUUGGAUUCUAUUGCAUCUAAUCUCGCCUGACCUGAUGGCUAACCGUACGUGGCAAAGGCAGCGGUGGAGCUAUGAUUUUAUUUGCAAAACUACUACAUACAGUUGUAGCAUAUAGUCGCUGCGGAGUUGCCACGUCAUCAGUUGAUUAAAAAAAACCAAUAAAAAAAAAGAAAACAAAAAUGAAGCCGAAAACUGCUCAGGGCUCAUUCCCACUUCUUGCUCCUCUGUUCUGCAGCCUCAUGUUCUUGCUCACAGAAGGUUCGUGGCUUCGUGGUGCUCUGGCGGUGGUCUUAGAUCUCACAGAAAUUUUGUGGUGCUCUGGUCUGAAGCUUGCAGUUGUCUUCGAUCUCUCAGAAACUUAGGCCGUGGCGUCGUGGUGGUCUGGUCUGAAGCUUGGGUCUUCGUGCUCACAGAAGCUUCAUUGCGUUGUAUUCUUUUCGAGGUCGUGUUCGGCUUCGUGGUGUCGUCUUCUACUCAAGCUCGUCCUCUGCACCGAGAUCUUCAAGUCUUGAAGUGGAUCUCUGCGGGUAUUUUUCUGGGUCUCUAGGAUCUUCGUGUGGGUCUUCAAGAGGCCGUAAAAUAUUCGUCAAGGUCAUCUUCUUGGUGGAUCUCAACGUUAUUACGAACUGUUUGAAAAGAUACCAUCAGAUUUGGUAAAAGUAGUACUGAUUGCUCGUGAUAGAAAGGCUGCUACUCUUUUGCUUCAGAGGCUGCUUUUCUACUUCCCUCCAAGUUCAGCUACGGAUUUGAACGGUUGGAUGAGUGAACGUGGAAUCAAUGGGCAUACAAUUUUGUCGUUACUGUAGCUUGGCACUCUUGGAGGUGUUUUGGUUUUAGCCUGUCGUUGGUAGUUUCUAAAUGACAAGAUGAUGAGUUGGAGCAGGGUCCUUUGGUAGGGUUUAUCAUCGGUUGUAUGUUUCCAAUCACCACGCUGUUUAACUGAAGGUUAAUCCUUACAGAUGCAAUUUAGAUUGGAUGGAUCACAGCCAGUGCAGGAUGGGUUGGAUGGAACACAAUCGGUGCAAUGAGAACCAACACAAUUGAUGAGACUAUCAUUAUUUUUUUUAGACAUUUUUUUUGGAGAAUUGAAUGCUGGAAACUUAAAUUGGAGAUUUCUGGAGAGUUGAUUUAUUUCUUUUAGAGAAAAUUUUAAAGCACUUGACGUGCAAGUUUAUGCGUGUUUUCUGGAGACUUGAUGAACUUGUUUUAGUGAAGAUCUCUGGAUACUUGAUUUUUGGAAAAGCACUAUUACAGGUGAUGCA
RNA transcript from Carya illinoinensis, 4649 nucleotides. It is a transcript of the gene named disease resistance protein RPV1-like, with no coding region annotated. The record is from RefSeq and is a predicted model, not a curated record. The transcript is spliced from 11 exons. NCBI's taxonomy places the organism in Eukaryota, Viridiplantae, Streptophyta, Magnoliopsida, Fagales, Juglandaceae.